GACGAACGCUGGCGGCGUGCUUGACACAUGCAAGUCGAACGGAGAGGCCCUGCUUUUGUGGGGUGCUCGAGUGGCGAACGGGUGAGUAACACGUGAGUAACCUGCCCUUGACUUUGGGAUAACUUCAGGAAACUGGGGCUAAUACCGGAUAGGAGCUCCUGCUGCAUGGUGGGGGUUGGAAAGUUUCGGCGGUUGGGGAUGGACUCGCGGCUUAUCGGCUUGUUGGUGGGGUAGUGGCUUACCAAGGCUUUGACGGGUAGCCGGCCUGAGAGGGUGACCGGCCACAUUGGGACUGAGAUACGGCCCAGACUCCUACGGGAGGCAGCAGUGGGGAAUAUUGCACAAUGGGCGGAAGCCUGAUGCAGCAACGCCGCGUGCGGGAUGACGGCCUUCGGGUUGUAAACCGCUUUCGCCUGUGACGAAGCGUGAGUGACGGUAAUGGGUAAAGAAGCACCGGCUAACUACGUG
Molecule: ribosomal RNA, 468 nt
Filed under: uncultured bacterium
Lineage: Bacteria
Description: partial 16S ribosomal RNA
Rfam family: Bacterial small subunit ribosomal RNA
Source: RNAcentral